AACGAACGCUGGCGGCAUGCCUAACACAUGCAAGUCGAACGAGACCUUCGGGUCUAGUGGCGCACGGGUGCGUAACGCGUGGGAACCUGCCCUUAGGUUCGGAAUAACUCCCCGAAAGGGGUGCUAAUACCGGAUAAUCUCUUCGGACCAAAGAUUUAUCGCCUUUGGAUGGGCCCGCGUUUGAUUAGCUAGUUGGUAGGGUAAAAGCCUACCAAGGCGACGAUCCAUAGCUGGUCUGAGAGGAUGAUCAGCCACACUGGGACUGAGACACGGCCCAGACUCCUACGGGAGGCAGCAGUGGGGAAUAUUGGACAAUGGGCGAAAGCCUGAUGCAGCAAUGCCGCGUGAGUGAUGAAGGCCUUAGGGUUGUAAAGCUCUUUUACCCGGGAUGAUAAUGACAGUACCGGGAGAAUAAGCUCCGGCUAACUCCGUG
Molecule: ribosomal RNA, 433 nt
Filed under: uncultured bacterium
Lineage: Bacteria
Description: partial 16S ribosomal RNA
Rfam family: Bacterial small subunit ribosomal RNA
Source: RNAcentral